UUCACUUGUUACGUGGCUGUUAACAGCGUGUAGCGAGACCUGGCACGCCGAGCAAGCACUGAUUCUUAAGCGAGCGGCUCCUGUCCUCACGGCAGUUACGACUCGGUCUCAGCAAAGAUCAGAAUGAACAGAACUCAUUGUAAUGAGAUGACCCAGCGGCGGCAGGGGCGAGGGACACUUGCCAGUACCUGCCCCUGGUAAGAAGCUACGGCUCUGUACCAGGGGCAGGUACCCAACCUUCCGUCUCCCCGAUUGGCAUGUGGCUGUUCGACCCCUGCACGGAUCCCGGACUCUCCCUGGCAACUGACUCUUAUGCCCCCCGCCCCUCCCUCUCAGCCUCCAGGAGCAAACGUCAGCCGAACAUCGUUCCUGUCAGCCCUACAUACACCCCUCUGCUCUCAGAUGCAGCUUUUCCUAUCCGCGAGCGAACCGAAAGAGAUCACCUUCAGUUCUCGUGAUCAUUUCUCCACAUAAUAUAUUGCGAAGAUUUCUUGGAAUCUUCUAUCAGUUUAUGUUCCAGCCAAUUGAUAUUGAAUCCCAGGAACAGCGAACUCACGGAAACUAAAUUGCAUCUUUGUGUAUCAGUUUUUCCCAUGAUGAAUAUGUUGCUUGUAUCAAGCAUCCAUUUAAAAAUUGUUUUGUUUCUUGAUAUAUCUUUUCCUCUUUGCUAUGAGCAAUGUGUUGUAUUUAAAGUACAAUGUGUUAUGCCACUGUAAAAGAGGCAAUCACGGGUUCAAUAAAUUUGAUUUUAAUAAAUGGAUGCUUAGAUCUUACCUCAGGAAUAAUAUAUCAUUUAACGUUUUAUAAGGAUGUUUCCACCGAUUUCUAUACUAUGAAUGUAUUUGUACCUCUAAUCAAACUAAGCAUUUUCCAAAUACUAAAAUUCAUAAAUA
This 893-nucleotide long non-coding RNA is filed under the name Penaeus chinensis. RNAcentral describes it as "uncharacterized LOC125039697". Lineage: Eukaryota; Metazoa; Arthropoda; Malacostraca; Decapoda; Penaeidae. The record is from RNAcentral.